RNAcentral lists this ribosomal RNA (253 nucleotides) under uncultured bacterium. RNAcentral describes it as "partial 16S ribosomal RNA". It matches the Rfam family "Bacterial small subunit ribosomal RNA", at positions 524 to 776 of the family's 1533-position model. The record is from RNAcentral.
UACGUAGGGGGCAAGCGUUGUCCGGAUUUAUUGGGCGUAAAGAGCGUGUAGGCGGCUAGGUAGGUCCGUUGUGAAAACUCGAGGCUCAACCUCGAGACGCCGAUGGAAACCAUCUAGCUAGAGUCCGGAAGAGGAGAGUGGAACUGCGAGUGUAGAGGUGAAAUUCGUAGAUAUUCGCAAGAACACCAGUGGCGAAGGCGGCUCACCGGCCCGAUACUGACGCUGAGGCACGAAAGCGUGGGGAGCAAACAGG